This 420-nucleotide ribosomal RNA is filed under the name uncultured eukaryote. RNAcentral describes it as "bacterial SSU rRNA". It matches the Rfam family "Eukaryotic small subunit ribosomal RNA", at positions 592 to 1013 of the family's 1831-position model. The record is from RNAcentral.
CAAUAGCGUAUAUUAAAGUUGUUGCAGUUAAAAGCUCGUAGUUGGAUUUCUGGUCUGAUGCCCUGGCCCGCGCCUUAUAGGUGUGUGUGCCGGCUGUGCGUCUACCAUCCUUCUAGUAACCCUUCCUACCCUUCACUGGGCCGGGUUGGCGAUCUAGAUCUUUUACUUUGAAAAAUUAGAGUGUUCAAAGCAGGCUAUUGCUUGAAUACAUGAGCAUGGAAUAAUGGAAUAGGACUUUGGUCCCAUUUUGUUGGUUUCUAGGGCCGAAGUAAUGAUUAAGAGGGACAAUUGGGGGCAUCCGUAUUUCGUUGUCAGAGGUGAAAUUCUUGGAUUUACGAAAGACGAACAACUGCGAAAGCACUUGCCAAGAGUGUUUUCAUUAAUCAAGAACGAAAGUUAGAGGAUCGAAGACGAUCAGAU